This 253-nucleotide ribosomal RNA is filed under the name uncultured bacterium. Its description in RNAcentral is "partial 16S ribosomal RNA". It matches the Rfam family "Bacterial small subunit ribosomal RNA", at positions 524 to 776 of the family's 1533-position model. The record is from RNAcentral.
UACGUAGGGGGCAAGCGUUGUCCGGAAUUAUUGGGCGUAAAGCGCGCGUAGGCGGCUACCUAAGUCGGAUGUGAAAGCCCCUGGCUUAACCGGGGAAGUGCACCCGAAACUGGGUAGCUAGAGUGCAAAAGAGGGUCGCGGAAUUCCCAGUGUAGAGGUGAAAUUCGUAGAUAUUGGGAGGAACACCGGUGGCGAAGGCGGCGACCUGGGUUGACACUGACGCUGAGGCGCGAAAGCGUGGGGAGCAAACGGG